RNAcentral lists this ribosomal RNA (446 nucleotides) under uncultured bacterium. Its description in RNAcentral is "partial 16S ribosomal RNA". It matches the Rfam family "Bacterial small subunit ribosomal RNA", at positions 338 to 795 of the family's 1533-position model. The record is from RNAcentral.
CCUACGGGCGGCAGCAGUCGAGAAUCAUUCACAAUGGGGGAAACCCUGAUGGUGCGACGCCGCGUGGGGGAAUGAAGGUCUUCGGAUUGUAAACCCCUGUCAUGUGGGAGCAAAUUAAAAAGAUAGUACCACAAGAGGAAGAGACGGCUAACUCUGUGCCAGCAGCCGCGGUAAUACAGAGGUCUCAAGCGUUGUUCGGAAUCACUGGGCGUAAAGCGUGCGUAGGCUGUUUCGUAAGUCGUGUGUGAAAGGCGCGGGCUCAACCCGCGGACGGCACAUGAUACUGCGAGACUAGAGUAAUGGAGGGGGAACCGGAAUUCUCGGUGUAGCAGUGAAAGGCGUAGAUAUCGAGAGGAACACUCGUGGCGAAGGCGGGUUCCUGGACAUUAACUGACGCUGAGGCACGAAGGCCAGGGGAGCAAACAGGAUUAGAUACCCUUGUAGUC